CCUACGGGAGGCUGCAGUAAGGAAUAUUGGUCAAUGGAGGAAACUCUGAACCAGCCAUCCCGCGUGAAGGAUGAAGGGGCUCUGCCUUGUAAACUUCUUUUGUCUGGGGCGAAAAAGCUCGAUUUAUCGAGAACUGACGGUACCAGAAGAAUACGCACCGGCUAACUACGUGCCAGCAGCCGCGGUAAUCCGGAGGGUGCAGGCGUUACCCGGUGUCACGGGGUUGUAGGGGUGCGAGGGCGUCUGUGGUGAAAGGCUGUGGCUUAACCAUGGAAUUGCCAUUGAUACUGCAGAGCUUGAAUGAGGUUGAGGUUGGCGGAAUGUGACAUGUAGCGGUGAAAUGCUUAGAUAUGUCAUGGAACACCGAUUGCGAAGGCAGCUGACUGGACCUAUAUUGACGCUGAGGCACGAAAGCGUGGGGAGCGAACAGGAUUAGAUACCCGAGUAGUC
This 450-nucleotide ribosomal RNA is filed under the name uncultured bacterium. RNAcentral describes it as "partial 16S ribosomal RNA". It matches the Rfam family "Bacterial small subunit ribosomal RNA", at positions 338 to 795 of the family's 1533-position model. The record is from RNAcentral.